GAUGAACGCUGGCGGCGUGCUUAACACAUGCAAGUCGAACGAUGAAGCCCAGCCUGCUGGGCGGAUUAGUGGCGAACGGGUGAGUAACACGUGAGUAACCUGCCCUUGACUCUGGGAUAAGCCCGGGAAACUGGGUCUAAUACCGGAUAGGAGCGCCUGUCGCAUGACGGGUGCUGGAAAGAUUUUUCGGUCAUGGAUGGACUCGCGGCCUAUCAGCUUGUUGGUGAGGUAACGGCUCACCAAGGCGACGACGGGUAGCCGGCCUGAGAGGGUGACCGGCCACACUGGGACUGAGACACGGCCCAGACUCCUACGGGAGGCAGCAGUGGGGAAUAUUGCACAAUGGGCGGAAGCCUGAUGCAGCGACGCCGCGUGAGGGAUGACGGCCUUCGGGUUGUAAACCUCUUUCAGUAGGGAAGAAAGCGAAAGUGACGGUACCU
RNAcentral lists this ribosomal RNA (440 nucleotides) under Micrococcus luteus. Its description in RNAcentral is "bacterial SSU rRNA". It matches the Rfam family "Bacterial small subunit ribosomal RNA", at positions 28 to 480 of the family's 1533-position model. Lineage: Bacteria; Bacillati; Actinomycetota; Actinomycetes; Micrococcales; Micrococcaceae. The record is from RNAcentral.